This 427-nucleotide ribosomal RNA is filed under the name uncultured bacterium. Its description in RNAcentral is "partial 16S ribosomal RNA". It matches the Rfam family "Bacterial small subunit ribosomal RNA", at positions 355 to 774 of the family's 1533-position model. The record is from RNAcentral.
UAGGGAAUCUUCCGCAAUGGGCGAAAGCCUGACGGAGCAACGCCGCGUGAGUGAAGAAGGUCUUCGGAUCGUAAAACUCUGUUAUUAGGGAAGAACAAAUGUGUAAGUAACUAUGCACGUCUUGACGGUACCUAAUCAGAAAGCCACGGCUAACUACGUGCCAGCAGCCGCGGUAAUACGUAGGUGGCAAGCGUUAUCCGGAAUUAUUGGGCGUAAAGCGCGCGUAGGCGGUUUUUUAAGUCUGAUGUGAAAGCCCACGGCUCAACCGUGGAGGGUCAUUGGAAACUGGAAAACUUGAGUGCAGAAGAGGAAAGUGGAAUUCCAUGUGUAGCGGUGAGAUGCGCAGAGAUAUGGAGGAACACCAGUGGCGAAGGCGACUUUCUGGUCUGUAACUGACGCUGAUGUGCGAAAGCGUGGGGAUCAAACA